GCCAGACUCCUACGGGAGGCAGCAGUGGGGAAUAUUGCACAAUGGGGGAAACCCUGAUGCAGCGACGCCGCGUGAGUGAAGAAGUAUUUCGGUAUGUAAAGCUCUAUCAGCAGGGAAGAAAAUGACGGUACCUGACCAAGAAGCCCCGGCUAACUACGUGCCGGCAGCCGCGGUAAUACGUAGGGGGCAAGCGUUAUCCGGAUUUACUGGGUGUAAAGGGAGCGUAGACGGUUGUGCAAGUCAGAAGUGAAAGCCCGGGGCUCAACCCCGGAACUGCAUUGGAAACUGUAUUUCUAGAGUGUCGGAGAGGCAAGUGGAAUUCCUGGUGUAGCGGUGAAAUGCGUAGAUAUCAGGAGGAACACCAGUGGCGAAGGCGGCUUGCUGGACGAUGACUGACGUUGAGGCUCGAAAGCGUGGGGAGCAAACAGGAUUAGAUACCCCCGUACA
RNAcentral lists this ribosomal RNA (447 nucleotides) under uncultured bacterium. RNAcentral describes it as "bacterial SSU rRNA". It matches the Rfam family "Bacterial small subunit ribosomal RNA", at positions 330 to 794 of the family's 1533-position model. The record is from RNAcentral.